AAUAUUCAAACACUGUCGGACAACCUGUUGCGCGCCAACACUAACACACAUGCAUGUAUAUAUAUACGUGUGCGCGCGCGCGUGUAUAUGCACCGUUGAGUCGCGGCUCGCAGCAUUUUUGUCGUUCCUGAAUGACACCUGCGCGUUAUGGCGCGAUUUCAGGGUUAGACGCCAUCUUCAUUGAGCGAUCUGGAUCAUGACGUCGAAUCUUUCAUUAUCAAUAAUAUUGUGAACAAUUUUAUUCCAGCAAGCAAACAAAAAACCAGACAUGCUUGAAAAUGGCACAAUUUCACCAUGACAAUAAUGGCAAUUUUCAUCAGAAAACUUGCAAUUACCAUCGAGAAAAUAUGGACAUGGAAUCAUCUCUUUGUGCGUUGGAUUGAGAAAGAGCACUCGAACCUAGAAUUGAUAAUCAAAUGGAUAAUCAAAGCCAAAGAUGAAAUAAAAAAAAAAAUA
This is a long non-coding RNA of Solenopsis invicta (red fire ant), 456 nucleotides long. RefSeq lists it as uncharacterized. Lineage: Eukaryota; Metazoa; Arthropoda; Insecta; Hymenoptera; Formicidae. The transcript has 3 exons. The record is from RefSeq and is a predicted model, not a curated record.